Malurus melanocephalus (red-backed fairy wren) is the source of this 2379-nucleotide long non-coding RNA. RefSeq lists it as uncharacterized. The record is from RefSeq and is a predicted model, not a curated record. Lineage: Eukaryota; Metazoa; Chordata; Aves; Passeriformes; Maluridae. The transcript is spliced from 3 exons.
AGCUCGCGCGGGAGGGGCGGGGGCUCCGUCCCGGCCUGUUGUGGGGCCGAGCGCGGGCGGGAGCGAGGGUGUCUGAGUCAGAGCUGCAUCCUCCGAGGAAUAAACGCCAAAACUCCCUCCUCGGCCGCUCUCACACCCCCAACCUUCGGCUUCUUCCUCAUGACCAUCGAUGCUCUCGGCAUACGUGUUCUUUAUGAAUCUCAAACARCACAUUUCGGCCCAAACUGCACGAAAAGCCGGGCACACUCGUCGGAUCUCACAAACGCAGAAGAACUGACUGAGGGGCGGGGAAGAGGGGAGCGAAAAAGGAGCGGGAGUUUUUGCAGAUCUGCUUAGGCGGUUUUGACUGAAACUCAAUAACUGACACUCGAGGCUGCGAAUCUUCCCCGAAGCGUUUAGGACUCAUAUAUAAGGCAAGUGGGAGAAAGCUUCUUUCCUUUAAGCGAGAGGGACAGCACUCACUGAAGGCGCUUCUGUUCUGCAGGGAACGAGACAAGCAGUGAACAAGCCUCGUUUGCCCUUUAGGGAACAGCACUCGGGGAGCAAGAAUGGCGCUCUUCCAUCCAGACCAGCAGGCGCUGUCAAAGCCGGGAGCUCGCUCAGCCUUUCAGAGCAGACGCAGUCUCUGCUAUUCGUAAUGCUCCCGUCUUCCUGCCACCAUUUCUCCUCCCAGAUCCCGCUCUACCCGUACGCCGCCCUGCCUCCCCUGCCCGGCUUCAGCCCCUCCAGCGAUACGGCUGAUUGAGGGAGGGGAGGUGGCGGCUGGGGUUUCGUUUGACGCCCACCAGGGGCUGAGCGAGCCUCCUUCAGUGCGCAAACUCGGGGCACCAGAUAAAAGCUGGGCUGGCAGCUCUUACCCUGCCUCGAUGGAGCCGCCACAUUCGGGUGACUGGAGAAGCAGUUAGCAGCAGCGCCAUAGACUAGCGUCCCCCCACACCUUGAGCACAGAGAGUUUGGGGCUCUAAACAGCUGCUGCUGCGGCAAGAGGGAGCCGAGGGCGCUUGGCUGGGGCUGCUCGCUCGGGUUCUGCCUGUUGUUGCGCGAAAUGGCGGCUGGCGUCUUGCGCCGGGGCUGUGCGGAGACGAGCGGGGAACGAGCGAGAGGGGAGCAACUCGUGCCUGCCUUUGUAACUGCGUCAGUACAAGAUGGCGCAGGGUGUCCCUGGAGAGGGAAGGGAGUUGCACGUCCGCCGGAGGUCAUGUGACCGCGUUGCAUUCCUGUGGGGUUUGGCUGCGGACCAAGCUGGCUUAGGCGGUGGCGGCGGCUGCCCGGGAGAGCCCGGGCUUCCCUCCCCCUCCUCCCGCACAACGUCGUCCGUCCCGCGCUGGUUCCCUUCCCCCAUCAGCCUUAUGCACGAGGGUGUAGCUGCUGCCGAGGAAGGUUCUCGCUUCUCUUCUUACUCUCCACCCACCUCCAGGGUGUAGCUGCUCUUGGGGGAAGCUUUCCAUUUCGCCCCCUCUCUGCGCAAGGCUUUACCCACCGCCAGGGAAAGUUCCCCCUGGGCGCCUUCUGGCUCCGCCCGAGCGUGGGAAGCCGGGUUCGCUCGCGGUAGUGCCGCCCGUUCGGUGCGAACGCACUCUGCUCUAAGUUAAGUUCCCGGGUUUAUGGAGUGUUUCUUGCCGGAUCAGUCGUUUAAAACUAUGUCUAAAUGACCUCAUUAAAGCAGCUGAGGAAAACGCACAGGCUGUGCGGAGUUGUUCAUCUGACAAGGAGGUCUUGGCCGUUCUAAUGUUGCUGUGCCUGGGUACGGGRUGGAGGGGCCAAGGGAGAAUCUGCGAGGUGUUCACGACGUUAUUCUGUUCAAACAGGAGAAGUGGAUCCCUGUUCUUUGUGUGCUGUUAAAUCCUAUUGCAGUUGAGCAGCUUUCUGUGGAGCGAUGGGGGUAUUCCAAAGUCAGGCCGCAAAUGGCCUGCAACUAAUUUAACAUGGGAAUUGAUGUACGUAUACUUAGUGUAAAUACUGCGAGGACUCCCUGUGUUGUACUUGCUGAGGUCCAUAGGAAAAUGAACUCGUUACACAGGUCUGGAUAGGCCUGGAAGGUUGGCAAACAUAUUUUCGGGGUCUUUUUUUAUUUCAGUGUGUUGAUGUAUGGGAAGUGAAAAAAUUUAUGUUUUCCAGUACUAAUUCGUUUCUUUGAGAAAUGGAGUUCUUGCUGUUUGGUUGAGGUUCUCAUGUUUUCAAAGCAAUUCAGAGCUAGUUCCAGUAUCUUGUUCUUGUAUGCCAAGGUGUAAAUUCAGCCAGAGCAUCUAAUCUAAUUAGCAAAUUAACAGUUAAAAUUGUUGAUGGUUUAAGGGUGUUGGUUUGUUUCAUUUAGAAUGCUUCACUUUUUGUGUUCACAGUUUGUCCUUAGAUACGUGGUUUUUUUGGUUUUUUUUUUUU